UCUACUCCGCCUCCGCCGCCAACAGGUUACAUUACUCCUUCUCCUCCACCGUCGACAGGUUACUCUCCUCCACCGUCUACGGGUUACUCUCCUCCAUCACCUCCGCCGUCUACGGGUUACUCUCCUCCAUCACCACCGUCUACGGGUUACUCUCCUCCAUCACCUCCGCCGUCUACGGGUUACGCUCCUCCGCCGUCUACGGGUUACUCUCCUCCGCCGUCUACGGGUUACUCUCCUCCAUCACCACCGCCUCACUCGCCGUCACCGCCAGUCCCUUACUACUAUAGCUCACCUCCACCACCACC
This 305-nucleotide long non-coding RNA is filed under the name Eutrema salsugineum. Its description in RNAcentral is "long non-coding RNA (ESAL_LNC002119)". Lineage: Eukaryota; Viridiplantae; Streptophyta; Magnoliopsida; Brassicales; Brassicaceae. The record is from RNAcentral.